Salarias fasciatus (jewelled blenny) is the source of this 868-nucleotide long non-coding RNA. RefSeq lists it as uncharacterized. The record is from RefSeq and is a predicted model, not a curated record. The transcript has 3 exons. Lineage: Eukaryota; Metazoa; Chordata; Actinopteri; Blenniiformes; Blenniidae.
CAGCAAAAACUCCUCGCGUCUGACCAGCAGAAGCUGUGCCAUGCUGGACGCCGUACGGCGCGCUCGGCUAAAGCAGCUCCGAGGGCCUCGUAGUCAAGCCCCCAAAGUCCCCAAGGCGGCCCACGCCUGCCUGCAGUCUCGGCCUCUUACAAAGACUGCGACGCCUAACCAUGCAUCGCCUCAGGCACAUCGAGGGCAAGCACUGGCCCUGUCCUCUCUGCAGUAAAACGUUCUUUCGACUGAGGAAUGUACGGAACCACAUCCGAACCCACGACCCCAAGUUGUACAAAUGCCGGAGCUGCAUGUCGGCCGGCUCCUGAGGCUUCUGCCCGCUGGACUUCUGAGACCGAGGAUGACGGCUGUCAGCGUCUUUGGGCCGCCGACGAACAGGGCCGCCGCCGCCACCACCGCCGCCGGCCCGCCAUCGAUCUGCAGCUUGUACAUAAUGAAUUAGUCACACACAAGCACAACGGUCUGUGGAAAAGGCAUAAUUACUUUCUAUUCUAAUCAUUGCCGUUAUCAAUGAUUGCUGAUGUUAGUUUAAAUAACCAAACCAAGGUUGCUGUUCCUGUUUGCUUUUGCGUAGCUGAAGAAGUUAAACUUGAAACAUUACUCUCAGGGGCUGGGAACUAGACGCCACGGUCAUAAAGUGAUUGAACAUCACGGUUUGUGUACAAAAUGAAACGUAGAGUGAUUGUUAUGACUAUUACUUCUACUUAUUGUUAUCUUUAUUUUUCUAUGUACGGAUGAUUUUGAGUGCACUUUUUAUCAUAGCUUACGUGUAAACCUAAGAAGUGGUAUGAAGGUCUGGAGUCCGCAGCGGGAAUACUUGAAGCGACGCAAGUGCUGGAGGGAAAUACUUGAAGCU